CUCUCACUCUCUCUCCUGCCACUAUGUGAAGAAGAUGUUUGCUUCCCCUUUGCCUUCUACUAUGAUUCUAAGUUUCCUGAGGCCUCCCAGUGAUGCUUCCUGUUAAGCCUGCAGAACUGACAUGAAACUUCUCAACCUGAUAAAAAUGAGCUUUCCUAAUAACUUGGGACCUACCUGUCUAAAAAUAAACUAUCGUAGCCAUGAGUGAUCCAACAAAAUCUGAGACCAGAGACUCAUUUUCUUCUCAAAUGCUUUCUCCAGAAGAUUUUUUUAAGAACAAGGAAUCUUCAGGGGCCAAAUCCUGACACAACGAGGCACCUUCUGAAUUCUCUCUCCAAUAAAAGCUUACUUCAAGACUGGAACCCACUCCCAGAUACAGACUGACUACAAGAUUGACUGUGAUUAAUUUGUAACCUGGUAGGGCCCUCAAUGGCCCCAGCCCCUACAUCAGAGGGAACAAUAAUUCAAGAUGAGCCAUUGGAGCAAGUCUCAUCACCUGGCACUUCCUAGCAUUCCCUGCCUCUUCUGCAUUCCAAACUCUCUCUUAAAAAACCCCUGCAUUCCCUCCAAAAAUUGAAAAGUAAAAUUUUUCUUAGCCACUCUUCCCCUUGCUGGCACGAAUAAUAAAGUUUCAGUCUUUUUCUAUCA
Molecule: long non-coding RNA, 648 nt
Organism: Gorilla gorilla gorilla (western lowland gorilla)
Lineage: Eukaryota; Metazoa; Chordata; Mammalia; Primates; Hominidae
Exons: 3
Source: RefSeq, a predicted model, not a curated record